UAGACAGCCAAUUUCAUUGUGAAACAUCUUUCUCUUCUGUACACAAUGAUCCAGAAAAUAAAGCCUCUGUACUUUGCUGCUUUUCGCAGUGUAUUCUACAUAAAUACAUUUAAAUUCUGGCACUUACAAGCGGUCCAGUGUCCUUCUUUUGUGCGAGAGUGGCGCUUUUGGCUGUCGGCAUCUUCAGCUCUCAAACUUGUUUCAAACCGUUUUCCUUGGAACAUUAUCUGGAGGCACAGCAGUGCCGCCGCCAAGUCGAGUAGCACGCCCGUACCAUCCUUUUCUGGAAGCAACUCAGGGUACUUUUCACAUCUCCA
RNAcentral lists this long non-coding RNA (317 nucleotides) under Androctonus crassicauda. Lineage: Eukaryota; Metazoa; Arthropoda; Arachnida; Scorpiones; Buthidae. The record is from RNAcentral.